This 394-nucleotide long non-coding RNA is filed under the name Medicago truncatula (barrel medic). RNAcentral describes it as "long non-coding RNA (MTRU_LNC004781)". Lineage: Eukaryota; Viridiplantae; Streptophyta; Magnoliopsida; Fabales; Fabaceae. The record is from RNAcentral.
AAUGCUUGUAUACAUGGUUAAAUCAGCUCAAGAUUCAUAAAAGAUAAGUUUUGCACAAAUUGGAGAAAAAUCAAGAAUUUAGCUACUGGAUCGUGCCACGAUGGACCUGAAUCGUGGCACGUUUGAAGCGUGGAAUUUACCUGAAGAUAUUGGAAAAAGCGUGGCACGAUGGAUAUGUAACGCGCCACGAUGGUUUAGUAAAUUUGCUGUCACGUCAGAUUAAUGAAGGAAUCAUGCCACGAUGGACGUGAAACGUGGCACGAUGGUGGGCUUUUCUGAAACCGUAAAUUCUUUUUCUAUAAAAUUCAUAUGCGAUCAGAAGCUUUGUGUGCGAUUUUGGAGACCUAAACAGAGCAUAGACAACACCAGGAAGUUGAAGAGCACGCAGUGGAUC